AUUGAACGCUGGCGGAAUGCUUUACACAUGCAAGUCGAACGGUAGGGGGGGCAACCCCUCGAGAGUGGCGAACGGGUGAGUAAUAUAUCGGAACGUGCCCCGUCGUGGGGGAUGACGUAGCGAAAGUUACGCUAAUACCGCAUACGAUCUAAGGAUGAAAGCGGGGGAUCGCAAGACCUCGCGCGAUUGGAGCGGCCGAUAUCAGAUUAGGUAGUUGGUGGGGUAAAGGCUCACCAAGCCAACGAUCUGUAGCUGGUCUGAGAGGACGACCAGCCACACUGGAACUGAGACACGGUCCAGACUCCUACGGGAGGCAGCAGUGGGGAAUUUUGGACAAUGGACGCAAGUCUGAUCCAGCCAUUCCGCGUGCAGGAUGAAGGCCCUCGGGUUGUAAACUGCUUUUGUACGGAACGAAAAGGUCUCUCUUAAUACGGGGGGCUCAUGACGGUACCGUAAGAAUAAGCACCGGCUAACUACGUGCCAGCAGCCGCCGUAA
This 496-nucleotide ribosomal RNA is filed under the name uncultured bacterium. Its description in RNAcentral is "partial 16S ribosomal RNA". It matches the Rfam family "Bacterial small subunit ribosomal RNA", at positions 30 to 523 of the family's 1533-position model. The record is from RNAcentral.